This 477-nucleotide ribosomal RNA is filed under the name Triticum aestivum (bread wheat). Its description in RNAcentral is "partial small subunit ribosomal RNA". Lineage: Eukaryota; Viridiplantae; Streptophyta; Magnoliopsida; Poales; Poaceae. The record is from RNAcentral.
AUGGUUUUUCCUGCUUCUGCCCGGUCUGGACGUCGCCGCCGAGGUCGCUCUCCUGGGAUUCAGGCGGCCGUUACUGCGCGUGUGCGCCGUGCCGGCAUGCGUCUUCCUGCCGCGGACUGUUCGUCGGUGACGGCAGACGCUGUUGUGUGUGGUCAGUUGCCUGUGGUUCGUUCAGGGCGGCGUGCCCGCUCUGCGGCUCGCCGGCCGCUUCGUUCUUGCCUGCCUGGUGGGUUUACUUGUCCUUGUGUACUUGCAGUAGAGUGCGGUCAUCUUAUUGGGUUAUUUGAUUUCGUAGGUGGCCAACGUUUGGACUCGGAUCGGUUUCUUAGUGAAGAUCUUGAUAGCCGCCGUCGAGAGAUUUCAUUAGGGAAGCGGCCUGUUGAUUGCACUGUUGGUUCGACCAUUAUUGCUGGUUCUUCUUCUGCAUCUGAUGGCUUUGAGUCUGCUGCUCGGCAAUCCAUUGCGCGAACUGUGUAA